RNAcentral lists this transfer RNA (85 nucleotides) under Elusimicrobiota bacterium. RNAcentral's name for it is "Elusimicrobia bacterium (hot springs metagenome) tRNA-Leu". It matches the Rfam family "tRNA". Rfam says of the family: Transfer RNA (tRNA) molecules are approximately 80 nucleotides in length. Their secondary structure includes four short double-helical elements and three loops (D, anti-codon, and T loops). Lineage: Bacteria; Pseudomonadati; Elusimicrobiota. The record is from RNAcentral.
GCCCUCGUGGCGGAACUGGCAUACGCGUGUGGCUUAGGACCACAUUCCCUUUUCGGGAUUGCAGGUUCAAGUCCUGCCGGGGGCA